GACGAACGCUGGCGGCGUGCUUAACACAUGCAAGUCGAACGGAAAGGCCCUGCUUGCAGGGUACUCGAGUGGCGAACGGGUGAGUAACACGUGGGUGAUCUGCCCUGCACUUCGGGAUAAGCCUGGGCAACUGGGUCUAAUACCGGAUAGGAGCCAUUUUUAGUGUGAUGGUUGGAAAGUUUUUUCGGUGUAGGAUGAGCUCGCGGCCUAUCAGCUUGUUGGUGGGGUAAUGGCCUACCAAGGCGGCGACGGGUAGCCGGCCUGGGAGGGUGGACGGCCACAUUGGGACUGAGAUGCGGCCCAGACUCCUACGGGAGGCAGAAGGGGGGAAUAUUGCACAAUGGGCGCAAGCCUGAUGCAGCGACGCCGCGUGGGGGAUGACGGCCUUCGGGUUGUAAACUCCUUUCGCUAGGGACGAAGCUUUUUGUGACGGUACCUAGAGAAGAAGCACCGGCUAACUACGUG
RNAcentral lists this ribosomal RNA (465 nucleotides) under uncultured bacterium. Its description in RNAcentral is "partial 16S ribosomal RNA". It matches the Rfam family "Bacterial small subunit ribosomal RNA", at positions 28 to 507 of the family's 1533-position model. The record is from RNAcentral.